CUUACUUUUCGGCAUGCCAUAUUCUGUUUCAACAGAUAAAAAGCCAAAAGGUAAAUUAUUUUGAGCAGUUCUGAAAUUGUUUAAUACUUCAGGAUCAUUUUUCUCUCUUCAAGGCCAAUACCUUUCAGCGUGUCAUCAACUCUGCAAGGCAGAACCAUCGGCAAGGAAGGAAUACCAAAACGCAGAAUGCAGUGAGGAUCCAGGAACUAUGAAAAUUAGAAAAUGCAUAGAUUUAGGUCUCUCCAAAACAAUGUCAAGUCUUGAGUGCAUAGCUUUCUGAGUUCUGUUCCUAAUGUACAAUGUGGUUUCAGCGUACCAGAACAAUGGAUAGAGCUGGACUUGGGAGUUGAGAAGACUUGACUUUAAACCUUGCUUCAAACACUUUCCAUCUGUGUGACUGAAAAUAUGACUUCUAUCAGCCUCAAUGUUCCCAUGUAAAAUGGGAAUCAUAAUAGCAUUUCCCUCAGUGUCAUUGUAACAAGAGAUCUCAGUACCUGGGUUAGGAUCAAGACCUAUGGAACUACAAUCCUCAAACAUCCAGCCCCAGAGCAUCUCUUUCUGAACAAAAGGGAAUUAAUUCCUUAUUAUGAAGAAGAAACAGCAGCAGGUUUGCCUUCCAAAUUAUAUUUGGACCAGACUAUUUAAAAUGACUUUCCAUUUCUGCACGCAGAAUGACUGGCAGCAAAGAAAUAGCUUCCAAAGCCUGCUGGGUGAAGAAAGAAAUAUUUGUUUUAUUCAAACUUAUUUCGGAUAAUCCAUAUGUAGAUAAUUGAAAACUGCCUCUAUUCCUGUUUUGGACAAGUCUGCUUUCUCUGGUAUUCAGUGGCUGAUAUUCGUCAUAGACUCCCUGCAUUACAGUAUAAGCUGACAUUAUUUAAUACACCAAAUCCAUUAGACACUUUUUUUUCUUUCUUGUGAACAAAGAAGAAAUGUUUUCACACAACUUUAUGGAAACCAUCAAUCUCUCUGAGAGACAUGCCACACUGAACAAAAUACACAUUAUAACUUAUGCAAAAUAGAGCAAGGAAGGCGUGGGGAAAACACUAGCAUCUUCAAGCAGUAGAAAUGCAUUAAAGAAGACAUGUGUUUCUCCUGAAAUUCAUAUUGGUAAGUGGAUUUCCCAUCUGAAACAUUGUUUUUCACUAAGAGAAGCUUUUAAUCCCCUUAAGUUCCUUUCUAAUCUGCCUUAGAAGUGCUUGUCUAAGGAAUAUAACAGUGAUGAUCUAACAGAUUUAAUUUAUUAGACCUAAACAUCAGCCAAGACACCACCGAAGAGCUCCUGCCCAAGAGAACUCACUCUCCCUGUUGGAUAAACACACCCCAAAGGCCAUCUCUGCUGGUCCCUGAGCUCCAGAAACAGUACAAUACCAAAUUAGGGUUGGGGCUUCCUGGCUUAAAUUUUUGGGAGGCUUUUAUCACCUGUGUCUGGGGUGGGAAUAGAAAUAAACUCCUCAAACC
Molecule: long non-coding RNA, 1458 nt
Filed under: Monodelphis domestica (gray short-tailed opossum)
Lineage: Eukaryota; Metazoa; Chordata; Mammalia; Didelphimorphia; Didelphidae
Description: lncRNA (ENSMODG00000030567.2)
Source: RNAcentral